AAAACCCUGCGGUGUACGUAGUUAUUUUGAAGUUUUGAACCAACAGUUAUUAAAGGGGAGCUUGGCUCUGUCAUUGGCUUGCAGGACUCUUCGUUAGAAGAGGAAGCAAAAAAAUGACAGGAAGGCACCCGCCUGUGGAGAGCAGGUUCAAGAAACUUUGUGGUAAAUUACGGCACAAGCGGGGGGCUU
This 189-nucleotide non-coding RNA is filed under the name Desulfotomaculum sp. Its description in RNAcentral is "6S RNA". It matches the Rfam family "6S / SsrS RNA". From Rfam's summary of the family: E. coli 6S RNA was the first non coding RNA to be sequenced, but its function was unknown until recently. It consists of 184 nucleotides that fold into an extended hairpin structure with a large single-stranded internal bulge. RNAcentral also lists the same sequence under 1 other name. Lineage: Bacteria; Bacillati; Bacillota; Clostridia; Eubacteriales; Desulfotomaculaceae. The record is from RNAcentral.